AGAUGUGAGAGCGAUCUGGCUGCCACAUCUGUCACCCUGUUGUUGAUUGCCAAGGCUGAUUCGGCUGAUCUGGCUGGCUAGCGGUGUCCCUUUCCUUCCUCACCACUCCCUGUGCGUCCUUCCCAAAGCUGUGUGCUCAGCUGAAGAGGAUGACCUUCCCAAAGUAGAGGGGGACCUGUCUUCAGUCAAGGGUCUACAAGUAGCUGGGCUCCCCUGCUAGAACCUCCAAGCAAGCUCUCAAGAUGAUAAGCCCAGGCUGACCUGGAAUUCACUCUGUAGUCCCAGGCUCG
This 290-nucleotide small nuclear RNA is filed under the name Jaculus jaculus (lesser Egyptian jerboa). Its description in RNAcentral is "7SK RNA (ENSJJAG00000001216.1)". It matches the Rfam family "7SK RNA", at positions 1 to 263 of the family's 331-position model. From Rfam's summary of the family: 7SK was discovered as an abundant small nuclear RNA in the mid-70s but a possible function has only recently been suggested. Two independent studies have found that 7SK RNA binds the CDK9/cyclin T complex (known as elongation factor P-TEFb). The record is from RNAcentral. Lineage: Eukaryota; Metazoa; Chordata; Mammalia; Rodentia; Dipodidae.